Molecule: ribosomal RNA, 400 nt
Filed under: uncultured bacterium
Lineage: Bacteria
Description: bacterial SSU rRNA
Rfam family: Bacterial small subunit ribosomal RNA
Source: RNAcentral
UAGGGAAUAUUGGGCAAUGGUCGGAAGACUGACCCAGCCACGCCGCGUGCAGGAGGAAGGCCCUCUGGGUUGUAAACUGCUUUAGCAGGGGAAGAAAAGACGCAUGCGUGCGGCAUUGACGGUACCCUGAGAAUAAGCACCGGCUAACUACGUGCCAGCAGCCGCGGUAAUACGUAGGGUGCGAGCGUUGUCCGGAUUUAUUGGGUUUAAAGGGUGCGUAGGCGGCCAAAUAAGUCAGUGUUAAAAUUUUGCAGCUUAACUGUAGGUAUGGCAUUGAUACUGUUUGGCUUGAAUGUCAUGGAGGUAGCUGGAAUUUAUGGUGUAGCGGUGAAAUGCAUAGAUACCAUAAGGAACACCGAUAGCGGAGGCAUGUUACCACGUGAUGAUUGACGCUGAGGCA